AUUGAGCGCUGGCGGCAUGCUUUACACAUGCAAGUCGAACGGCAGCACGGGCUUCGGCCUGGUGGCGAGUGGCGAACGGGUGAGUAAUAUAUCGGAACGUACCCAGAAGUGGGGGAUAACGUAGCGAAAGUUACGCUAAUACCGCAUACGAUCUAUGGAUGAAAGCAGGGGACCGCAAGGCCUUGUGCUCCUGGAGCGGCCGAUAUCUGAUUAGCUAGUUGGUGAGGUAAAGGCUCACCAAGGCGACGAUCAGUAGCUGGUCUGAGAGGACGACCAGCCACACUGGAACUGAGACACGGUCCAGACUCCUACGGGAGGCAGCAGUGGGGAAUUUUGGACAAUGGGCGCAAGCCUGAUCCAGCAAUGCCGCGUGAGUGAAGAAGGCCUUCGGGUUGUAAAGCUCUUUUGUCAGGGAAGAAACGGUAGAGGCUAAUAUCCUUUGCUAAUGACGGUACCUGAAGAAUAAGCACCGGCUAACUACGUG
Molecule: ribosomal RNA, 484 nt
Filed under: uncultured bacterium
Lineage: Bacteria
Description: partial 16S ribosomal RNA
Rfam family: Bacterial small subunit ribosomal RNA
Source: RNAcentral